UCGUGAGCGAUUGCGAAUCUGAAGGAAGUCCGUGGGCAAAUCUCUGGUCUGACGAACAGAAAUCAUAUCAGGCAAUUAUUAUGGAUAAGGCUGCACAACAAGUUGAAGUCCAAUAACUACUCGGGAAAUAAUAAUUGUAAAUAUGGCAGAUACAUGGAGAGGAAGAUUGUGCU
This is a non-coding RNA of Parasporobacterium paucivorans DSM 15970, 173 nucleotides long. NCBI's taxonomy places the organism in Bacteria, Bacillati, Bacillota, Clostridia, Lachnospirales, Lachnospiraceae. The record is from Rfam.